UAUAUAUAUAUAUAUAUAUAUAUAUGCAAUAAUUAUAACGAUAGAGAAUAUGGAGACUGGUACAUCCUCAAAAUAUAUUCCCUUUUAUUUUACAAUGUCACACAGCAUAUUUUUAUGGUUACGACAACCUACACGUGUUUCCAAUAUACAUAU
RNAcentral lists this long non-coding RNA (153 nucleotides) under Octopus sinensis (East Asian common octopus). RNAcentral's name for it is "uncharacterized LOC118762376, transcript variant X2". Lineage: Eukaryota; Metazoa; Mollusca; Cephalopoda; Octopoda; Octopodidae. The record is from RNAcentral.